Molecule: long non-coding RNA, 425 nt
Filed under: Bos mutus (wild yak)
Lineage: Eukaryota; Metazoa; Chordata; Mammalia; Artiodactyla; Bovidae
Description: lncRNA (ENSBMUG00000025552.1)
Source: RNAcentral
CUCCUCUGUCUGUCCCAGGGACCUGGAGACACAGGCAUUCCUUCCUGGAAGCCCCAGAGGAGGAGGAAGAGGAGGAGGAUAAAUAUGAGCUGCCCCCCUGUGAGGCUCUACUCCGCCACCUCACCCCUGCCCACCUUUCUGGCACUGAGGAGGACUCUUUGUACUUGGAUCACUCUGCUCCCCUGGGCCCUCCCACAUCACCACUGCCACCACCACAGCCCCAGCCGGAGAUGGUACACAGCCUCCCUGCCCGCCCCACCCCAGCGCACCAUUUUCCAGUGAGUAAAUCUAAGAGGCAUCCCAUAUGCAAAAUUCCCCCACAUCUGCAUUCAUGAGGCCCCUGAAAAAUUAGCUGCGUCGGAAGCCAGAGCCCUGUUGAGAGUGGCUCCUCCCACCUGCCUGGUCUGGUCCUUGCACCCUCCCCA